UACUUACUUCCUCCGUCCGGAAAUACUUGUCCUCGAAAUAGAUAAAAUGAAUGUAUCUAUAACUAAAAUAAGUCUAGAUACAAUCAUCUCGAGGAUAAGUAUUUCCGGACGGAGGGAGUACUUG
Triticum aestivum (bread wheat) is the source of this 124-nucleotide non-coding RNA. NCBI's taxonomy places the organism in Eukaryota, Viridiplantae, Streptophyta, Magnoliopsida, Poales, Poaceae. The record is from Rfam.